Molecule: ribosomal RNA, 237 nt
Filed under: uncultured bacterium
Lineage: Bacteria
Description: partial 16S ribosomal RNA
Rfam family: Bacterial small subunit ribosomal RNA
Source: RNAcentral
CGGACGGGUGAGGAACACGUACGCGACCUGCCCACCGGUGGGGAAUAACCCUUCGAAAGGGGGGCUAAUGCCGCAUACGGUUGACUGGGUAGAGCCGGUCAAGGAAAGCCCGAGAGGGCGCUGGUGGAGGGGCGUGCGGCCGAUUAGCUAGUUGGUGGGGUAAUGGCCUACCAAGGCAUCGAUCGGUAGCUGGUCUGAGAGGAUGGUCAGCCACACUGGGACUGAGAUACGGCCCAG